GACGAACGCUGGCGGCGUGCUUAACACAUGCAAGUCGAACGGAAAGGCCUUUUCGGAGGUACUCGAGUGGCGAACGGGUGAGUAACACGUGGGUGAUCUGCCCUGCACUCUGGGAUAAGCCUGGGAAACUGGGUCUAAUACCGGAUAGGACCGCACCUUCGUUCGUGUGGGGGAAAGUUUUUUCGGUGUAGGAUGAGCCCGCGGCCUAUAAGCUUGUUGGUGGGGUAAUGGCCUACCAAGGCGGCGACGGGUAGCCGGACUGGGAGGUUGGUCGGCCACAUUGGGCCUGAGAGACGGCCCAGACUCCUACGGGAGGCAGCAGUGGGGAGUAUUGCACCAUGGGCGCGAGCCUGAUGCAGCGACGCCGCGUGGGGGAUGACGGCCUUCGGGUUGUAAACUCCUUUCGCCAGGGACGAAGCGUUUUGUGACGGUACCUGGAGAAGAAGCACCGGCUAACUACGUG
Molecule: ribosomal RNA, 463 nt
Filed under: uncultured bacterium
Lineage: Bacteria
Description: partial 16S ribosomal RNA
Rfam family: Bacterial small subunit ribosomal RNA
Source: RNAcentral